UCCAAACGAUGGAACACUUUGAUC
RNAcentral lists this non-coding RNA (24 nucleotides) under Arabidopsis thaliana (thale cress). Lineage: Eukaryota; Viridiplantae; Streptophyta; Magnoliopsida; Brassicales; Brassicaceae. The record is from RNAcentral.